RNAcentral lists this ribosomal RNA (252 nucleotides) under uncultured Bdellovibrio sp. Its description in RNAcentral is "partial 16S ribosomal RNA". It matches the Rfam family "Bacterial small subunit ribosomal RNA", at positions 524 to 776 of the family's 1533-position model. The record is from RNAcentral. Lineage: Bacteria; Pseudomonadati; Bdellovibrionota; Bdellovibrionia; Bdellovibrionales; Pseudobdellovibrionaceae.
GACGAGGGAUCCAAGCGUUGUUCGGAAUCAUUGGGCGUAAAGCGGGUGUAGGCGGCUUUAUAAGUCAGGUGUGAAAGCCCAGGGCUCAACCCUGGAAGUGCAUUUGAUACUGUAAGCUUGAGUGUGGGAGAGGCUAGUGGAAUUCCAGGUGUAGUGGUGAAACACGUAGAUAUCUGGAGGAACACCGGUGGCGAAGGCGGCUAGCUGGCCCAACACUGACGCUAAGAUCCGAAAGCGUGGGGAUCAAACAGG